UUUGUUGGAGAGUUUGAUCCUGGCUCAGGACGAACGCUGGCGGCGUGCUUAACACAUGCAAGUCGAG
This 67-nucleotide ribosomal RNA is filed under the name Hamadaea sp. RNAcentral describes it as "partial 16S ribosomal RNA". It matches the Rfam family "Bacterial small subunit ribosomal RNA", at positions 1 to 66 of the family's 1533-position model. Lineage: Bacteria; Bacillati; Actinomycetota; Actinomycetes; Micromonosporales; Micromonosporaceae. The record is from RNAcentral.